CCCACCCAAUACCCUGAUUUGGUCAUAUAGGCUCCACUCUUGUUGUACUUCCAACUUUGAAAUCCUCCUCUCCCACUGCUACUUUGAUCUUCAAGAUGAGGUGAACAUCUUCAGGGUAAAAGAUAUCAUUUAAAGUUGCAAGAUCCCAGUCUCUUGUCUGUGGAUUAAGGAGGCUAGAUACCCGUAAAUCUAUGUUGAUAAACUGGUUCUUCAUCAAGGGUGCUCUCAUCCAUACUCUAUCAUUCAGCCAGGGAGACGCCCAUACCAGAAACUUAGAUCCCGAUCCAAUCCUUUGCUUCAGUCCUUUAUCAAACGGUUCUUUUCCAAACAUAAUGCUUCUCCAUCCAUAGGAAGGUCUAGACCUCAUACUUGCCUCAUCAAAGGUCUUCCCAUCAAAAUAACGGCUUCUAAGGAACCUGGAGAGAAGGCAUUCCGAGUCAUUCAACAGCUUCCAAGCCUGUUUUGCCAGUAAGGCUUGGUUGAACAAGUGAAUAUCUUUGAACCCAUCCCUCCUAGACUCUUCAGCAAGCACAUUUUCUUCCAACUCAGCCAGUGGAUCUUCUUCUUGUCUUCCAUUGAAGUCCACCCGUAUAUUCAGAACCGGCCCUAAGUGGAAUCAGACUAAACCCUUGCUUCCGGCUGACAUAAAAUGCAUAUUUAUUCAUCUCUUUCUUGUUUUUUUUAUUCAGAACCGGUCCUAAGUGGAAACAGACUAAACUCUUGCUUCCGGCUGACAGAAAAUAAGUAAUUUUUUUCCCAACGAGAUUUAUUAAAGGACAUAGACCGAGAACAAGAAACUACAACACGGCCCAUUACAAACCAACCAACGGUCAAAGUUAAAGGGCCCAAAAACAAACAGCAACGCAAAACGAAAGAGCUAAGCCUACAACCCUACAAGCCCAAACACACAGCGGAGACCACUAAUCUUAUCCUCGACGCUGAGGACACGUGUCACCCAUCGCUUCAACCUUUCCACCGCCGACGAUCUAACCAUCGUUUCACCAGCGACUCACCAUCACAAACACCUUCAUCGUCUGACAAACUUCAGCGGAGAGCAUCCAUCAAACCCAAUUGAGAUCUCAUCCGGUCGCCAAGCUUUCAGACACGAUCUUUAACCUAGAUCUGAAAUCGAUCCCUUCCUUACGUAGGCUUCAUCUUCGGAGAGCAUCGAUCAAUCUCUAUUGGGAUCUCAUCCAGAGAAACAAAGCCGACAAAGAGUAGAUUGAAGGGUAACGAGACCACCACACACAUAGGAACUAUCCUGGAGCCGGCGGCGCAGAGCUGAAGAAGCCUCCACCCCCGGAAACUUAGACAGCGACGGCGAAGCUGCAGAAGCCUCCACCCCCCGGACACUUAGCCGAUGGCUACAGAGAUAUAUGAGCCUCCGCAUCCCGGAGCUUUACCACCUCAUAUCAAAAUCCAAACAGAAAGGAGAAGAGGAAGCCUUUCCCUCGCAAACCAGACAUGCAAAAGAAAAGAAAAAAGAAAACCAUAACCGGACCGACGGUAGCUGUGAGAGCCCCGACGUCGGCCGGAAAAAGAACUCAUGGCACCUUUCUCUCUCUAGCUCUAGCUCUCGACUCUCUCGAUGGUUAACUUUCUGAGAAUAAGUAAUUUUUGGUUGUAUGUUUCCAAUAAGUUUAUAUUUAUAUAAAGUUAAGUUUGCUCUCUCCUGAGCUAUGCCACAUAGGAUGACAGGCUGGAAACUCAUUUCAUAGAAUAGUGACACGUGUCCAAAGGAAACCGCAGCGUUCAUCGCUCCUCUUCAUGCGACAGCUAGGCGUGACGAUUGCGAUUCUUCUCACGACUGUAACAUCUGAUUAAUUGAUUCCUGAUUAAUCUUCUUGAUUCAUGCUUCCACGAGGUGUCUUCAAAGCGUUGUUUGGAUCUGAGAGCCGGCGUGAAAUAUGUGGGUCGUUCAUUAUUCAGAAAGGAAUCAAAACUGAAACGUUGGAGAUGAUGAGGUUGCUUGAGCAUCAUGAUCACAUUCGGUUGAUUGGAUUGAAGUAAAAAAACAUCUUUCUAUCUUCAAAUCAGAAUUAGGUUAGAGCCAGCCAUUUUUGAUUCUUUGUGCUACUGAUAAGAUCAAAUUCUGCUCAUGAAACAUGUGUUUCUGUUUCUUAUUACGGAAAAUCUUGAAGACCAACUUAGGGUGAGUUAGAUGAGUUAAAAGCUUAGUUUCAUAUCUUCGCUCUAUAUCAAAAUAUGGAAAGUUGCAAUGCUACAGCUGCAGAUGAAUGUAAAUCAGGGGAAGCUAAAAUCAGAAAACAGAAACAUGAUUUUGCAAAGCUUGUUUUUGGAAAGAGUUGUGAGGUACCUUCUCUUGAAGCCAGAUUUGUGUGGUAUGAAUUCAAACGCAUGAAAGGUAGAGUGGAUCGAAACUCAUAAACGCAUCAUAGGAGAACAGCAGGAAGAGAUUCAAUCAACUAAGAAACUUGAGAAGUCCCAAUAACAUCAGCUCAUGGAGAAGCCAUUUCAGCGGGGACUGAUGAAAAUUCUGUCUACAUAGAUUGGAACAAGUGGAAGAUUAGUAGUCACGUUAAAAAUGAUAUUGCUUAUGUUUGGGAGGAUUAAGAAGAUGAGUGAUAUGGCUGAUUAUGCUUUCCUUCGGUUCUGAUGAAUAAAGUAGGUUCAGAACUUACUUCAAGUUUAUGCAUAGAUCUUAUUCAUGCUUACUCUGUUAGAGUGAUGAAGCUAAGAUGCAAGAUGAAGGGCCAUCUUAUAAAAGGACAAGAAUCUUACUGUUUUCUAAGUCAUUGAUCUAUACUUUAAACCAUUAUUGAAUGAUA
This is a long non-coding RNA of Raphanus sativus (radish), 2789 nucleotides long. RefSeq lists it as uncharacterized. The record is from RefSeq and is a predicted model, not a curated record. The transcript has 4 exons. Lineage: Eukaryota; Viridiplantae; Streptophyta; Magnoliopsida; Brassicales; Brassicaceae.